Molecule: ribosomal RNA, 203 nt
Filed under: Peptoniphilus sp. HMSC062D09
Lineage: Bacteria; Bacillati; Bacillota; Tissierellia; Tissierellales; Peptoniphilaceae
Description: partial 16S ribosomal RNA
Rfam family: Bacterial small subunit ribosomal RNA
Source: RNAcentral
UUUUUAAUUGAGAGUUUGAUCCUGGCUCAGGACGAACGCUGGCGGCGCGCUUAACACAUGCAAGUCGAGCGAUGAAAUUUUGACAGAUCCCUUCGGGGUGAAGAUAAAAUGGAUUAGCGGCGGACGGGUGAGUAACACGUGAGUAACCUGCCUUAGACAUUGGGAUAGCCUCGGGAAACCGGGAUUAAUACCAAAUAAAAUCA